Molecule: unclassified non-coding RNA, 130 nt
Filed under: Orbicella faveolata
Lineage: Eukaryota; Metazoa; Cnidaria; Anthozoa; Scleractinia; Merulinidae
Description: tetratricopeptide repeat protein 28-like, transcript variant X2
Source: RNAcentral
AUACUGAUUGGAGAUGACGUGACAUUUGAUUUUGGAAAGAAAGGUGUUGGAAAGAAUGACCAGGAUGGCAGCGAGGGAUCGCCUGAGAUGUACAAUAUACCAUGACCUCAAUGGACAGUUUUACUGCUAG